This 236-nucleotide ribosomal RNA is filed under the name Pelobates cultripes (western spadefoot toad). Its description in RNAcentral is "SSU_rRNA_microsporidia". It matches the Rfam family "Eukaryotic small subunit ribosomal RNA", at positions 238 to 472 of the family's 1831-position model. Lineage: Eukaryota; Metazoa; Chordata; Amphibia; Anura; Pelobatidae. The record is from RNAcentral.
CCCAGCUCGUCAUGCUAGAGUACUUUUUCAAUGGGCUCCCCAACGACAAGGUGACGACGCAUUCGUAUGUCAUCCAUAUCAACUUUCGAUGCUACUUUCUGCGCCUACCAUGGUGACCACGAGUAACAGGGAAUUAGGGUUCGAUUCCGAAGAGGGAGCCUCAGAAACAGCUACCACAUGCAAGCAAUGCAGCAUGCACGUAAAUGACCUACUCCCGACUCGGGAAGGUAGUGACG